This 293-nucleotide ribosomal RNA is filed under the name uncultured bacterium. Its description in RNAcentral is "partial 16S ribosomal RNA". It matches the Rfam family "Bacterial small subunit ribosomal RNA", at positions 775 to 1067 of the family's 1533-position model. The record is from RNAcentral.
GGAUUAGAUACCCUGGUAGUCUAUGCUGUAAACGAUGAGUGCUAGGUGUUGGAGACUUGAUCUUCAGUUCCGUAGCUAACGCGUUAAGCACUCCACCUGGAGAGUACGACCGCAAGGUUAAAACUCAAAGGAAUUGACGGGGACCCGCACAAGCGGUGGAGCAUGCGGUUUAAUUCGAUGUUACGCGAAAAACCUUACCAACCUUUGACAUAGUGAUUAUGAUAAAUAGAGAUAUUUUCUUCAGUUUGGCUGGAUCACUACAGGUGUUGCAUGGCCGUCGUCAGCUCGUGCCG